This 491-nucleotide ribosomal RNA is filed under the name uncultured bacterium. Its description in RNAcentral is "partial 16S ribosomal RNA". It matches the Rfam family "Bacterial small subunit ribosomal RNA", at positions 29 to 506 of the family's 1533-position model. The record is from RNAcentral.
AGUGAACGCUGGCGGUAGGCCUAACACAUGCAAGUCGAACGGCAGCACAGUAAGAGCUUGCUCUUACGGGUGGCGAGUGGCGGACGGGUGAGGAAUACAUCGGAAUCUACUUUUUCGUGGGGGAUAACGUAGGGAAACUUACGCUAAUACCGCAUACGACCUACGGGUGAAAGCAGGGGAUCUUCGGACCUUGCGCGAUUGAAUGAGCCGAUGUCGGAUUAGCUAGUUGGCGGGGUAAAGGCCCACCAAGGCGACGAUCCGUAGCUGGUCUGAGAGGAUGAUACGCCACACUGGAACGGAAAACCGGGCAGACACCCCAAGGGAGGCAGAGGUGGGGAAUUUGGGAAAAGGGGGGAAAGCCUGUUCCAGCCAUACCGGGGGGGUGAAGAAGGCCUUCGGUUUGUAAAGCCUUUUUGUUGGGAAAAAAAAGAAGCAGGUUAAACCCCCACUGUUCGGGCGGAACCAAAAAAAAAAGCACCGGCUAAUUUGGU